Molecule: long non-coding RNA, 1440 nt
Filed under: Olea europaea subsp. europaea
Lineage: Eukaryota; Viridiplantae; Streptophyta; Magnoliopsida; Lamiales; Oleaceae
Source: RNAcentral
CUUGAAUGUGCACAAUUAAAAUCAUGUGUCAAAAGGACAACAUCCAAAAUUACAAACUCCCACUAAACUAAGAUAUCAUCAAAAUGUACAACACCCAUGGGAGCAGUGUGCUCAUGAAAGACCUUUGGUGGUAGUCCUUUAGUAAAUGGGUCUUAUCAUGGAGUUUGUCCCAAUAUGUUCUAUAGUAACUUGACCACUUUAAACUCUUCCUUUAAAAAUUAGGAAUUUAAUGUCUAUAAAUUUAGACAUUAUCGAACUCCUCUAGUUGUUUGAAUAGAAAACUGCUAAGUUAUUGUCACAAAAUAACUUAAGUGAUCUUUCAACUCCAUCCAAAAAUUUACAGUCUAGUGACAAAAUUCCAUAGUCAUAUUUCUCGAUUGGAUACGUUAUAACAUGCUACAAACUCCGCCGCCAUGAUUGAAGAAGUUAUGAGUGUCUGCUUCGUACUCUUUUAGGAUAUAGCUCUUCCAACCACCAGAAAGACAUAGCCCAAUGUGGAUUUUCUAUUGUCAUGAUAUCCGACAAAUCAAAAUCAGAAUAACCAAUAAUCUCUAAUUGGUUUGAUUUCCUGUAUGUAAGCAUGUAAUCUUUUGUUAUCUAUAAAUACCACUUUACCAGCUUGGCUGCCUUUCAACGAUUCAUCCCAGAGUUAUUUAAAUAUCUGCCUAGCAUUCCAACAACGAAUGGUAAAUCUGGGCAUGUGCAUACUUGAGCAAACUUCAAACUCUCAACUACUGAAGUAUAUGAAGUUUUCUGCAUUUUCUUUUUCUUCAAGAUCAUUCUUAGGGCAUUGAUUGAGACUAAAUUUGUCUCCCUUAGCAUAAGGAUAUCUCCUUGUUCACAAUCCUAUAUUCCAUAUCUCUUAAACACUUUAUUGAUAUAGUUUUUUUCGAUAAUUCAAGAAUACCCUGAGAACUAUCUGGUGUAUCGGUAUUCCUAAUAUAAAAGAGAUGCCAUCAAGAUCUUUCAUUUCAAAAAAAUUUGAUUGAAAUUUCUUAGUUUCGUAUAAUAAGCCUAUGUUAUUGCAGGUAAGUAGUAUUCAUCAACAUACAAUACCAAAAAAAUAUAUUUACUUCCACUGAACUUGUGAUAGAUACAAUCAUCAACUGCAUUUAUCUCAAAAACAAACAAGGUGAUUAUUUCAUGAAAUUUGGGACACCAUUGACAGGAAGAUUACUUAAGCUCAUGGAUGAAUUUCUUUAAAUUGCAAAUCAUUUUCUUUUGGUCUCUUGAUGCAAAGUUUUCUAGUUGCACUAUAUAUUGUAUCAUCAAUGUCACUAUUGAGAAACAUCGUCUUUACAUCAAUCCGAUAUAGCUCAAGAUCGAAAUGUACCACAAGUGAUAUUACAAUCUUGAAAGAGUCUUUCAUUGACACUAGAGAGAAAGUCUCAUUAUAAUCGAUACAUUCCCUUUGAAUAAAGCAUUUUGCAACAAGACGAG